UUCCAUGUGGCUCAGUUGGUAGCAUUGCGCUAACAACGCAAAAGUCAUUGGUUCAAAUCCCAACUUUCAAA
Molecule: non-coding RNA, 71 nt
Organism: Danionella cerebrum
Lineage: Eukaryota; Metazoa; Chordata; Actinopteri; Cypriniformes; Danionidae
Source: the annotation of a GenBank genome assembly